UGAGGCAGAUGAAUGAUCGCGUGCUAAUGGCAUGAGGAAAGUCCGAGCACCGCAGGGCAGGGUGCCAGCUAACGGCUGGUGGAGGCGACUCCAAGGCAAGUGCAACAGAGAGAUACCGCCGCAAUCGCGGUAAGGGUGGAAAGGUGCGGUAAGAGCGCACCGGCGGCCUGGCGACUGGCCCGUCAUGUAAACCCCACUUGGUGCAAGAUAACUGGAAGCAUAUCAAGCGGCCCGUUUGGCUUCCGACCUUCGCUUCAGCAGCCUGGCGACUGGCUGCGCAGAUAGAUGAUCAUUCUUGACAGAACUCGGCUUACAGUCUGCGCUCAUUGA
Molecule: RNase P RNA, 330 nt
Filed under: Clostridiales bacterium
Lineage: Bacteria; Bacillati; Bacillota; Clostridia; Eubacteriales
Description: RNase P RNA component class A
Rfam family: Bacterial RNase P class A
About the family: Ribonuclease P (RNase P) is a ubiquitous endoribonuclease, found in archaea, bacteria and eukarya as well as chloroplasts and mitochondria.
Source: RNAcentral